GAUGCUGUUUCCAUUCUCACUUUACAGAUACACUGAAAUGCACAGGUCAUAUAGUUUGCUUAGGACCGCACAGCUAUAUGAGUAGCUGCAGAAUUCGUGUUCUCACCACUCCGUUUGUUCAUUUGGAAACAGAAUGGCCAAAACCUCCAGUUCACCAACUCCAGGAGGACCACCUCUUGAUGAAGGAACUUGAGGAGCUCAUGGUGGGGGACAGAACUGCUGACGCCCUCAUGAAUGAACAGAUAGAUUCCCGAGGUACAGCUGAGUCACCUACUAACUCAAGGACUCAAACCGUGCUUAUAUUUCAGGGCCUGGCACUGAAAUAAUCAUGGUUCUGUAAGAGUGGAGUGGGAGAGUUCUUUAUGUUCAUUCAAAAACACAUUUGUUUUAUAGAUAGGACAGUUUUUUUUAAAGAAUAUACUCAUAAGGAACAUAGAUUAUUUGAGUAAGCAAUUUGAGAAGGUUGUAGAAGCUACCUUUCCCCAGGCUUUCAAAAUAAGAUGAUCUAUCAUUCUCUGCAAUGCGACCCUUAUAAUGAGCUGGAUGACCUGUUACUCUCAAGUUUUUAAUGCAUCACCCAAUUUUCUUUUUACUCUUUUCUGUUUUCGACUCAUAUUUAAAUCAGAGACAGUAGGAGCCUAUAAGAAAUAUUGAACAUCAAACACUAACGUCAGGCUUCUUUGAGUUUCAAGUUGAAAUGGCUUUCAUGUAGAUCUUAUUCAACUGUGGUUGAUAGAAAAUAGAAAUAUUCACUUUUAUCAGAGUUGAAUGUAAUUUAGGAAAAGAAUUAGAAGCCAUAGCAGCAUGACACAAAGUAAAUUCUUCUCACUGAGCUUACCCAAGCUCAUCUGUACUCCAAAGCUUGCAGCUGUGUCA
RNAcentral lists this long non-coding RNA (876 nucleotides) under Fukomys damarensis (Damara mole-rat). RNAcentral describes it as "lncRNA (ENSFDAG00000029464.1)". Lineage: Eukaryota; Metazoa; Chordata; Mammalia; Rodentia; Bathyergidae. The record is from RNAcentral.